Molecule: ribosomal RNA, 208 nt
Filed under: uncultured bacterium
Lineage: Bacteria
Description: partial 16S ribosomal RNA
Rfam family: Bacterial small subunit ribosomal RNA
Source: RNAcentral
UGCGUAGGUGGCGCCGUAAGUCAGGUGUGAAAUUUCGGAGCUCAACUCCGAAACUGCAUUUGAUACUGCGGUGCUUGAGGACUGGAGAGGAGACUGGAAUUCACGGUGUAGCAGUGAAAUGCGUAGAUAUCGUGAGGAAGACCAGUGGCGAAGGCGGGUCUCUGGACAGUUCCUGACACUGAGGCACGAAGGCCCAGGGGAGCAAACG